RNAcentral lists this transfer RNA (82 nucleotides) under Canis lupus familiaris (dog). It matches the Rfam family "tRNA". From Rfam's summary of the family: Transfer RNA (tRNA) molecules are approximately 80 nucleotides in length. Their secondary structure includes four short double-helical elements and three loops (D, anti-codon, and T loops). Further hydrogen bonds mediate the characteristic L-shaped molecular structure. tRNAs have two regions of fundamental functional importance: the anti-codon, which is responsible for specific mRNA codon recognition, and the 3' end, to which the tRNAs corresponding amino acid is attached (by aminoacyl-tRNA synthetases). tRNAs cope with the degeneracy of the genetic code in two manners: having more than one tRNA (with a specific anti-codon) for a particular amino acid; and 'wobble' base-pairing, i.e. permitting non-standard base-pairing at the 3rd anti-codon position. RNAcentral also lists the same sequence under 1 other name. The record is from Rfam by way of RNAcentral. Lineage: Eukaryota; Metazoa; Chordata; Mammalia; Carnivora; Canidae.
GCCUGGGUAGCUCAGUGGUUGAGUGUCUGCCUUCAGCUCAGGCAUGAUCUCAUGGUCCUGGGAUCAAAUCCCACAUCAGGCU